GCGUUGUUCGGAUUCAUUGGGCGUAAAGGGCGCGUAGGCGGCGGGGUCAGUCGGGUGUGAAAUCUUGGGGCUUAACCCCGGAACGGCGCUCGAAACUGCCCGGCUGGAGGGCCGGAGAGGAGAUCGGAAUUCACGGUGUAGCAGUGAAAUGCGUAGAGAUCGUGAGGAAGACCCGUGGCGAAGGCGGAUCUCUGGACGGCUAACUGACGCUGAGGCGCGAAGGCCAGGGGAGCAAACGGG
This 240-nucleotide ribosomal RNA is filed under the name uncultured bacterium. Its description in RNAcentral is "partial 16S ribosomal RNA". It matches the Rfam family "Bacterial small subunit ribosomal RNA", at positions 538 to 776 of the family's 1533-position model. The record is from RNAcentral.